RNAcentral lists this unclassified non-coding RNA (334 nucleotides) under soil metagenome. Its description in RNAcentral is "partial contains 5.8S ribosomal RNA, internal transcribed spacer 2, and large subunit ribosomal RNA". The stretch from base 1 to 120 matches the Rfam family "5.8S ribosomal RNA", at positions 35 to 154 of the family's 154-position model. The record is from RNAcentral.
GAUGAAGAACGUAGCGAAAUGCGAUACGUAAUGUGAAUUGCAGAAUUCAGUGAAUCAUCGAAUCUUUGAACGCACAUUGCGUCCGCCAGCACUCUGGCGGGCAUGCCUGUUCGAGCGUCAUUUCAACCAUCAAGCCCCAGGCUUGCGUUGGAGCCCUGCGGCUGCCGCAGCCUCCUAAAAGCAGUGGCGGGCUCGCUAUCACACCGAGUGCAGUAGAUUACUCUUCGCUCAGGGCGUGCAGCGGGUUCCGGCCGUGAAACCCCCUACUUUUAAAGGUUGACCUCGGAUCAGGUAGGAAUACCCGCUGAACUUAAGCAUAUCAAUAAGCGGAGGA